CAGAGCCUAAAAACUCUCAAACCCACUGUUAAUUAUACCUUUUUGUUGCUUUGGCGGGCAGUCCCAGGGCGGGGCCUUGCCUGUAUUUUUACAGGUGUCCGCCGAAAGCACUCCUAAAAUUCUUUUUUUAUGGCUGUCUGAGUUUUUAAAAAAAAAUAAGUCA
RNAcentral lists this unclassified non-coding RNA (163 nucleotides) under uncultured Vertexicola. RNAcentral describes it as "sequence contains ITS1". The record is from RNAcentral. Lineage: Eukaryota; Fungi; Ascomycota; Sordariomycetes; Annulatascales; Annulatascaceae.